GAGGCUUUGGGACUCGGACUGAGCCACUACUGGCUUCCUUGCUCUUCAGCUUGCGGAGAGCCUAUCUUGGAACUUCAUCUUGUGAUUCUAUGAGGUAAAUCUCCUGUCAAAGGAUUGGAGAGAAGGAACCAACCGUCUUUCACUCACCCACUUAGAACCUUCUGGAAGCCCUGACUGCCUUGCUGUAAGGUCGGCUGAAUGGAAAGAGACAAAGGCUGUUGGCCCUGAUAACAGAGGACAUGGAGAACACUGACGGGCCAGCACAGAGAGGUGUCAAACCUACAUUGCAGCCUGAAGGAUGUCUUCACUUCCUCCUGCCCCUUCGCCUUGUAUCCUUCAUAGAUUUCUCCCGC
Long non-coding RNA from Pan troglodytes (chimpanzee), 353 nucleotides. RefSeq lists it as uncharacterized. The transcript has 3 exons. The record is from RefSeq and is a predicted model, not a curated record. Lineage: Eukaryota; Metazoa; Chordata; Mammalia; Primates; Hominidae.